Long non-coding RNA from Hemicordylus capensis (graceful crag lizard), 1690 nucleotides. RefSeq lists it as uncharacterized. The record is from RefSeq and is a predicted model, not a curated record. Lineage: Eukaryota; Metazoa; Chordata; Lepidosauria; Squamata; Cordylidae. The transcript is spliced from 2 exons.
AGCAAACCAUCGGAUCUCAUGGAUGUUCAAAGAAGCUGGAUGAGAGCCCCAGAUUUCCUGUUCUAGGCGAAGUGUAACAGCCUGCAGCACCACCCUGUGGAGAAAAGGGAUGAAAUGGAGAAAAUCACAAGCAACCAAAUAAGAGAGGAAGAACGGAGGGACAGAUGGGAGAGACCAGCGUUCUGAACUGUCUUGUCUUUGUUGAACAAAUGCUGUCAAAAGCGAUUUCUUCUUACAGAGGGGAUUUUAUUUCCUUUGCUUCAUUCUGUUUUGGGAUAAAUAACGGUUGUCAUGCUUUACGUUCUUUAUUAAUUGUUUCAACUCUUGUUCUUUUAAGGACAUAUGUCAGUUGAAUGCUGUCAAAAGUUCCACUGAGACAUUACAUCAAACUAACACUUAUGUAUCAGCAAAAGGAACUGAGUAAUCCUAUAUCAGCACAGAUGUUCUGAUAGAACUUGAGUCCAACGUCCACCAUAAUAGAGAAUUCAGUUGUUUAGGGCCUCUGAUGUGAUUGAAAACAAAUAUCCAGACCUUUCCUCACUUGGUCCACAACAUACCUAUGCUCAGGGGGAAAUAAAUGUUUCAGGGAUGGGGUUGGAUUGGUAUUCUUAGGCAACUGCCAAGUUCCCUAUGUUACAUGGGAGCUCCUUGCCAACCCAACCCACUGCUAGAGGAGGAGGAGGAGGAGGAGGAGGAGGAGUCACUGCCAUCUGCCACUCCCUCUGGAUUGUGCUGGGAUGAUCUCCUGGGAGAAGUAGACACCCUCUAGUGGACCUCCUCUUCCUCAGUGAUGGAAGUUUCUUCUUCUCUUCAUCUGCUGCCAUACAGAUGGCAAGACCAGGUGAAUGUGUAGCAUUAACUAAUCCUUCUCACCACUGCCACUUGCUUGCCUGCUUGGGCAGAUGUCAAGCAAGGAACAUCUGCCCUCUGUGCAGCAGGUGGGAAGGGAGAAGGAAGUGCUGCUGCUUGAGAUGGAGGAGGCUUGUGAGAGGCCAUCCUACUGAGGGCCCCUCCAAACCUGGAACUGGUCCUGAAUCACCCUCACACUGUGCAGGCUCCCUAUCAGUUGAAAUGUGUUGCUGCCUCCAAACUGAUCUGUGGAAGGAAAUCUUGAAAAUAAGCAUGGCGUAAGCAUAAGCUUACAGCAAAAAUAAGUAGGUACCUAGGAAACAAACAAUUAGAAGACUGGCCCUGAUUCUGGACGUUGCAACUCUCUAAAAGGGUGAUGGAUUUGUGAGAGUUUUCAACAGCAUCACAAAUGGAUAGUGCCCUGCAGUAGAAUUGCCAGGUCCUGAGUAGGAGACAGUGCCUUGUGUCUUAAUAGUAGCAGAAUAGUGAGAUGUGACUUGGAAGCAGUAACUCUUGGCCCUGGGCUGUAGUCGUCCCUCAGCUGCCUAGAUUCCUCCAUGUAACAGGGAUUGAGCAUAUUCAGAACCCGAGCCCAAAAAGUGGUUCAGAGGAGGGUUGUCAGUGAACUGGAAAUGAGCCUGAACUUGAAAUCUCUUGGUUGCUUUGAAACUGAACAAGAACCAAACCCCUAAAUGCAAAAAGCAGUAACCAGUUCACCAUAUGUGGUUUAAUAAUCAGACUCCCUGCUUUCAAUCGUAUGAUUAAUGUAUGCAUUUCAUUUGUUAAAAUCUUUUAAAAGUUUAAAAAUUAAUAAUAAAUAUUUGUCUUCACUUUUGCAUUA